RNAcentral lists this ribosomal RNA (492 nucleotides) under uncultured bacterium. RNAcentral's name for it is "partial 16S ribosomal RNA". It matches the Rfam family "Bacterial small subunit ribosomal RNA", at positions 29 to 507 of the family's 1533-position model. The record is from RNAcentral.
AGUGAACGCUGGCGGUAGGCCUAACACAUGCAAGUCGAACGGCAGCACAGUAAGAGCUUGCUCUUACGGGUGGCGAGUGGCGGACGGGUGAGGAAUACAUCGGAAUCUACUUUUUCGUGGGGGAUAACGUAGGGAAACUUACGCUAGUACCGCAUACGACCUACGGGUGAAAGCAGGGGAUCUUCGGACCUUGCGCGAUUGAAUGAGCCGAUGUCGGAUUAGCUAGUUGGCGGGGUAAAGGCCCACCAAGGCGACGAUCCGUAGCUGGUCUGAGAGGACGAUCAGCCACACUGGAACUGAGACACGGUCCAGACUCCUACGGGAGGCAGCAGUGGGGAAUAUUGGACAAUGGGCGCAAGCCUGAUCCAGCCAUACCGCGUGGGUGAAGAAGGCCUUCGGGUUGUAAAGCCCUUUUGUUGGGAAAGAAAAGCAGCAGGUUAAUACCCCGCUGUUCUGACGGUACCCAAAGAAUAAGCACCGGCUAACUUCGUG